CCUCCCUCAUUCAGCUUUGCCCUCAGUCCAAGGUCUCUCUGUCCUCUCCAGCACAGCAGAAAGCUCAAGAGGAGCUUAGAGAAGAACAAAAACAGCAGCACUGACCAGGAGCCAUCACAAACCCUCCCCUCCUUUCUCAGUUUUCAGGUAGGAAAAGAUUACCCAUCCCUAUGAAAUCCUUAUGAGAAAGAAGUUCUCUAAGCCUGCAACUCAGACAGCUGUAGGAAUAUCUGAGAUCAAAUCACAGUGGGAAAAUGGAAGAAUCUAGGGGGGGCUGUGAAAGCAGCAAUCCGCUCCCUCUGUGUACACUGUAAGACUAGCACAGCUGCCUUCUCAGCAUGGCUCAGAGAUAGUUGGCACCUGCCCCACCUUUUCAGCUGCCUCUGGUGCCCAGUGCACAAGUGAAAAGGAAGGAAAGAUUUUUUUAGCCACAGAACAGCUGAGGACAAUCCACUGAGGAGUCCACGACCUGCUCUAUCAGAUCCCAAACAGGUUGCAAAGAGCCCAGUGACAGAAAAGGUAGCUGAAACUUCCUUUUUGUUUCCUUCUUGCUCCAAUGAAUCAGCCAAAGGCCUUGCACAGGUAAAGACAAGAGGCAGUUCCCCAUUGCAAGAAACCAACAACAUGAGCAAAGCAAACCUAUCCUCCUAAAGAACCCAAUUAGGACACAAAUUUUCAUUGAAUUUUGUUGGAGCAGGACUACCUUACAUGGUUAUUUUUUAAUUUAUGUUUUAAUCAGGGAAGAAGUGGAAGAUGGGAAAGGGAGUGAACAAUUUGCUGCUACUGGCACAUGGAAACCUCUCAGUGAUGUGAGUUUGUGUUCUGGGUGUGCAGGAAACACAACACACACAACAGUAUCAGGUUUUCUGUCAGCUUCACCUAGUCAGCAUGCAUUUUUGUAGACAUAGUUUUUUUCAUUCUGAAAGCCAAAGUAAGCCAUGUUAACAAAACCACUUUUUUUUCUGCCUGUACCCUGAGGGUCAAUCCCAAUCAUUGAUGGUGUGGUUUGCCCUCAGUUUGCUUCUCCUCUGUAACAAGGGUGCCAGACAGAGCCAAGUCCAAUACCCGUCUCCUGGAAUACAAGGCUAUCCUACAUCCCUACCAGAGUGCAUCACACAUGACGCUGAACAGACCUGUGCUGUCCACUGUGAGCAGAUCUGGCGGCCAACAAAACCCUCCAGUGCUUGCACGGAGAAGAAUGCCUUUUUCACUGGGAAAAUGCAUAAUGACUCAGAAUUUGGGAUGUGACCAUCCCUCCCCACUGCCUCACAGGACAAUUUAGGAUUGCAGCUGUGGGAACUCGUAUUUUUCUCCUGCGUAGUAACCCCUGUUGCUUAUUGCAGAUGCGUAGUUGCACCUGUAUGCUUUUCAAAGUCCACUACCACUUCAGAAUGGGCUGAAGUGCACAAGUUUUCUACACAUGACAUCAUCCUUGACAACAAGAUCCAUGCCAAGAGCACCUAACAUUUAGAUACUUCCCCUACAACAAACUCACAAUCAGCUGUGGAUUUACCAAAGCAAAAAA
This is a non-coding RNA of Cyanistes caeruleus (blue tit), 1525 nucleotides long. The record is from RefSeq and is a predicted model, not a curated record. NCBI's taxonomy places the organism in Eukaryota, Metazoa, Chordata, Aves, Passeriformes, Paridae.